RNAcentral lists this unclassified non-coding RNA (2844 nucleotides) under Cimex lectularius (bed bug). Its description in RNAcentral is "eukaryotic translation initiation factor 3 subunit J- like, transcript variant X1". Lineage: Eukaryota; Metazoa; Arthropoda; Insecta; Hemiptera; Cimicidae. The record is from RNAcentral.
ACAGUAAAAGUGGAGAGUCUAGGUGCAAGAGUGAGAGCAAAUCAAAGUAGAACCGCCUGUCGAGUCUCGUGCCAUGCAUUGCUAACCUGCUUUCGAAGAGAGAGAUCAUGUCCCUCGCGAAUAUGGAUAGUUGGGAUGCCGAGCCUUCCGACGUCGGGCUGGUCAACAAUGUGUCUAUUAUUAAAAACAAAUGGGAAGGUGAAGACGUCGAGGAGGAUGUCGUUGACAGUUGGGAUCAAGAAGUCGAGGAGGAAAAGGAAGAAAUCAUCAAGCCCGAAACCCCGCCGGCGAAAAAAAAGAAUUCGAAAAAAUUAGGAGAGAAACUUGAAGAAAAAGAGAAAAAGAAGAAGCAAGUUGUAAAAGAGCCUGAAGAAGAAGAAGUACAGUUGACCCGAGAAGAAAUUCUUGCUGAAAAACUCAAGCGGCAGAAAUUACAGGAAGAAUCUGACCUUAACAUAGCUAAAGAAGUUUUUGGUGUAUUACCAAGUGGUAUAGAAUCGAAAGAAGAUUAUGAUAAAUUGAAGGAAAAAGUCUUACAAUUAGUAUCUGAGGGUGUUAAAAACUUGAAUUUUGUCAACUUUACAGAAGAAAUAAUACAUAGUUUAUGUCUACAUUUAUCUUCAGCAGAUUUGAAAAAAGUUCAUACGUGGAUAGGAAACUUGCACAUAGAAAAAACAAAAAUAGAAAAAGGUGAAAAAUCAAAAAAGUCGAAAGGCAAAGGGAAAGCAAAAUUGAAGUUAGAAGGGGAUAACGAUUAUGGUGAAUACUCCGCAUUCUCGGCAGACUUUGAAGAUUUUAUAUAACUAAAAACUGGUGUAGUGUUAUUUAAUUAUCGCAGGCAUGCAUCGUGGAUUUAUCAAAGAAGUUGCUCAUAAUUGGCAAGUUUAUAAAACAUGUACAUUAGAGUGUAAAUAUUUAAAAUACAGUGUAUAUAAUUACUACAGGAAUUAUAAUGUAAUGUUGUAUACAUAUGCCGAUUAUUGGCUUGUCGAUAUAAUUCAACUUUUAUUUCUUAUCGGCACAGUGUUGAAUUCUGUAAUAAUAUCGUUAUUAGUUAAUAGAAAACAAUUUUUAUAUUUAUGUAUAACCAAGAAAAUCGAAAUAUCUUUAAAUAGUUACAUAUUACUUUUUUGUUCUAUAUUUCACAACCAAAAUUUUAAUUUAAGUGGUGAUAAAUAAUAAAUAAUUGUGUGGCUUUGUUGAAUUGCCCACUUUUCAUGAAUGGUAUAGCUAAAGCUAUCCUGUGUUAAAAAUGUAUAUAAAGCGAUUAACAAACACUAAGAGACAAAUAAUAUAUGUUUCAUACCAUUAGAGUAAAGGCGAUCUGUUAGUUUUAAAAAUCAUUUUUGAAUCACUUAUAAAAUUUCCCAUAUGACAUAAACAUAUUGACGAUUCAGUUUGUGGAAUUUGUGAACAAAUUGUAUUUGAGUAUAGAUUGAAUUAGAGAAAUAAUUUAUUAUACAUUUACAUGUUAAAAAGGAAAGUGGAUUUUACUAUAUAUUAGUUAAAAUUGCCUUAAAAAAUAAAGUACUAAUUUAGGGAUAUAUAAAAAAUUUAUCAGUGACACCAAUAAUUGUAAUACCUCAUGAAUAUGUUUAUCUUUUAAACGAUGUAACUAUUUUGCAGUUUAAAGAAAGAUUCAUCUACUUGUUAACAUGAACUUGAGAAUGCAGAAUUCUAGAAUGUUUCAAUUAUUUACUAUCAAAAAAAAUUUGAUCAGAAUUUCACAGUCAUUCCGUUACUAUGUUGUUCAUUAUUCGUUUGAAAAUCGGAUAAAGCCUUAUUGUAGUAAUAUCAAUUUGUUAAAAGGAACACGCAUGUCAGGUUAUGUACUGGUUUGCAGCAUGUACCUUUCAUCAGCACACAAUUAUGCCUUAUCUCUGUUAAUUGAUAUCGCUGACUUCUUUAUCAGUUUCAAAUAAAUGAUAGGAUAUUGUGCCUUGAAUGUAGAUUUUGAAGAUGAUAAAAAAAUUUCAUAAUGGUGUAAAUUAUUCUUAUUUAUUUUUGCAAUUCAUUCAUAAUUGUAAAAUUUAGAAUGAAAUUUGGUAAUUCUAUAUUCAAUAAUAAUUGUCACAAUAAUCAUUUUUAAUCAAUAUAAUUUAUAAUGUAAUCAUGUGAUGUUAUCAAUUAUUUUGUUCAAUUGAAAAUCAUUGAAAAGGAUUCAAUUAAAAACAUUUAUUUAAUUUUUUUAACUUUAAUUUUAAAAUUGCGGGCUGUCUAGACUUACUAUCUUAUUUAUCAAAUAUGCAAUGGAUUUUUGACAUAGCUGUGAUUCGAUUUAAUGUCAGUUCUAACAGAUUUUUGUUUAAUCUGUAUACUUAGCUCAAAAUUUGUUGUUUAUAUCAAAGAUAAGUAAACGAACAGAAGUUAUGCUUGAAAAGAAUCCUGCUUGAGUCAAAAAUUCCUUGGUCUUGAAAUGUGAAAUAUCAUUAAUCGAAGCAUUUCAUUUUUUUUUUUUUUUUUAACUAGAAGUGAAAAUUAAUUUAUUUAAGUUUUAAUUGUUUUAUCGAUUAUCGUUAAGAAAUUAAGUUCAUAGGGUCUUUUUUUGUUGUAACAAAAUGUUUUACUGUAUAUUAAGUUUACAUAAGAUGGAGUAAGGUAUAAUUAUAAAUAAAAUAAAAUGAUAUUUUUAAUACAAUGGUAAAUGAUCAAUAUUCAUAUUUCCUCUUCUGGUAUAAAGAGAAUAAUUCUGUACUAAUACAUACAACAAUAAUUGACUGAAAUCAAGCCUUGAGAUAAACAUCUUUUAUACAACAAAAUGCUUGGCCGUUUUAACAGUACAAAAUUCAUUAAACUGUCUUAAAUACAGGUUUUUAAAUUAAUUGUGAAUUUGACUGUUUUUAU